This 27-nucleotide small nuclear RNA is filed under the name Arabidopsis thaliana (thale cress). RNAcentral's name for it is "snRNA_11328". Lineage: Eukaryota; Viridiplantae; Streptophyta; Magnoliopsida; Brassicales; Brassicaceae. The record is from RNAcentral.
GAACAAAAGGGUAAAAGCUCGUUUGAU